GACGAACGCUGGCGGCGUGCUUAACGCAUGCAAGUCGAACGGAAAGGCCCUGCUUUUGUGGGGUGCUCGAGUGGCGAACGGGUGAGUAACACGUGAGUAACCUGCCCUUGACUUUGGGAUAACUUCAGGAAACUGGGGCUAAUACCGGAUAGGAGCUCCUGCUGCAUGGUGGGGGUUGGAAAGUUUCGGCGGUUGGGGAUGGACUCGCGGCUUAUCAGCUUGUUGGUGGGGUAGUGGCUUACCAAGGCUUUGACGGGUAGCCGGCCUGAGAGGGUGACCGGCCACAUUGGGACUGAGAUACGGCCCAGACUCCUACGGGAGGCAGCAGUGGGGAAUAUUGCACAAUGGGGGGAAGCCUGAUGCAGCAACGCCGCGUGCGGGAUGACGGCCUUCGGGUUGUAAACCGCUUUCGCCUGUGACGAAGCGUGAGUGACGGUAAUGGGUAAAGAAGCACCGGCUAACUACGUG
RNAcentral lists this ribosomal RNA (468 nucleotides) under uncultured bacterium. Its description in RNAcentral is "partial 16S ribosomal RNA". It matches the Rfam family "Bacterial small subunit ribosomal RNA", at positions 28 to 507 of the family's 1533-position model. The record is from RNAcentral.